CUGUAGAAGAGGAGCCUCAAAAUCUGAAAGUUGCCUUGUUUCACCACAGCUGUCCAGAACCAGCCUUGAUGCCAUCACUACUUCCAGAAAAAAAAAUAGUUCCUAAAUAUCCCACAGAAGAAAACAAGAGAGGCCAAAUUGGUAAGUUCUCCCAUGAGUUGACUAGUGUCACUGGCAGAGGAGCUAAGAAUAG
Long non-coding RNA from Homo sapiens (human), 193 nucleotides. RefSeq lists it as uncharacterized. The record is from RefSeq and is a predicted model, not a curated record. Lineage: Eukaryota; Metazoa; Chordata; Mammalia; Primates; Hominidae. The transcript is spliced from 3 exons.